Molecule: transfer RNA, 65 nt
Filed under: Cynoglossus puncticeps (speckled tonguesole)
Lineage: Eukaryota; Metazoa; Chordata; Actinopteri; Pleuronectiformes; Cynoglossidae
Description: tRNA-Cys
Rfam family: tRNA
About the family: Transfer RNA (tRNA) molecules are approximately 80 nucleotides in length. Their secondary structure includes four short double-helical elements and three loops (D, anti-codon, and T loops). Further hydrogen bonds mediate the characteristic L-shaped molecular structure. tRNAs have two regions of fundamental functional importance: the anti-codon, which is responsible for specific mRNA codon recognition, and the 3' end, to which the tRNAs corresponding amino acid is attached (by aminoacyl-tRNA synthetases). tRNAs cope with the degeneracy of the genetic code in two manners: having more than one tRNA (with a specific anti-codon) for a particular amino acid; and 'wobble' base-pairing, i.e. permitting non-standard base-pairing at the 3rd anti-codon position.
Source: RNAcentral
AGCUUCGAGGUGUAGGCACGUUAGAUUGCAAAUCUAAAGGAGCAGGAUAAUUCCUGCCGGGGCUU